UGGGGAAUAUUGGACAAUGGGGGAAACCCUGAUCCAGCCAUGCCGCGUGUGUGAAGAAGGUCUUCGGAUUGUAAAGCACUUUAAGUUGGGAGGAAGGGCGUCAAGCUAAUACCUUGAUGUUUUGACGUUACCAACAGAAUAAGCACCGGCUAACUCUGUGCCAGCAGCCGCGGUAAUACAGAGGGUGCAAGCGUUAAUCGGAAUUACUGGGCGUAAAGCGCGCGUAGGUGGUUCAGUAAGAUGGGUGUGAAAUCCCCGGGCUCAACCUGGGAACUGCUUUCAUAACUGCUGAGCUAGAGUACGGUAGAGGGUAGUGGAAUUUCCUGUGUAGCGGUGAAAUGCGUAGAUAUAGGAAGGAACACCAGUGGCGAAGGCGACUACCUGGACUGAUACUGACACUGAGGUGCGAAAGCGUGGGGAGCAAACAGGA
RNAcentral lists this ribosomal RNA (430 nucleotides) under uncultured bacterium. RNAcentral's name for it is "bacterial SSU rRNA". It matches the Rfam family "Bacterial small subunit ribosomal RNA", at positions 355 to 777 of the family's 1533-position model. The record is from RNAcentral.